CCUACGGGAGGCAGCAGUGAGGAAUAUUGGUCAAUGCGCGCGAGCCUGAACCAGCCAAGUCGCGUGAGGGAUGAAGGUUCUAUGGAUCGUAAACCUCUUUUAUAAGGGAGUAAAGUGUGGGACGUGUCCUAUUUUGUAUGUACCUUAUGAAUAAGGAUAGGCUAACUCCGUGCCAGCAGCCGCGGUAAUACGGAGGAUCCGAGCGUUAUCCGGAUUUGUUGGGUUUAAAGGGAUCGUAGGCGGCCUUUUAAGUCAGCGGUGAAAGUCUGUGGCUCAACCAUAGAAUUGCCGUUGAAACUGGGGGGCUUGAGUAUGUGUGAGGCAGGCGGAAUGCGUGGUGUAGCGGUGAAAUGCUUAGAUAUCACGCAGAACCCCGAUUGCGAAGGCAGCCUGCCAAGCCAUGACUGACGCUGAUGCACGAAAGCGUGGGGAUCAAACAGGAUUAGAUACCCCAGUAGUC
RNAcentral lists this ribosomal RNA (460 nucleotides) under uncultured bacterium. Its description in RNAcentral is "partial 16S ribosomal RNA". It matches the Rfam family "Bacterial small subunit ribosomal RNA", at positions 338 to 795 of the family's 1533-position model. The record is from RNAcentral.